GGCUACGGCCAUGCCACCCUGAACAAGCCCGAUCUCAUCUGAUCUCGGAAGCUAAGCAGGGUCGGGCCUGGUUAGUACUUGGAUGGGAGAUCACCUAGGAAGACCAGGUGCUGUAGGUG
This 119-nucleotide ribosomal RNA is filed under the name Pteropus alecto (black flying fox). Lineage: Eukaryota; Metazoa; Chordata; Mammalia; Chiroptera; Pteropodidae. The record is from RNAcentral.